RNAcentral lists this ribosomal RNA (433 nucleotides) under uncultured bacterium. RNAcentral describes it as "partial 16S ribosomal RNA". It matches the Rfam family "Bacterial small subunit ribosomal RNA", at positions 29 to 507 of the family's 1533-position model. The record is from RNAcentral.
AACGAACGCUGGCGGCAUGCCUAACACAUGCGAGUCGAACGAGACCUUCGGGUCUAGUGGCGCACGGGUGCGUAACGCGUGGGAACCUGCCCUUAGGUUCGAAAUAACUCCCCGAAAGGGGUGCUAAUACCGGAUAAUGUCUUCGGACCAAAGAUUUAUCGCCUUUGGAUGGGCCCGCGUUGGAUUAGCUAGUUGGUAGGGUAAAAGCCUACCAAGGCGACGAUCCAUAGCUGGUCUGAGAGGAUGAUCAGCCACACUGGGACUGAGACACGGCCCAGACUCCUACGGGAGGCAGCAGUGGGGAAUAUUGGACAAUGGGCGAAAGCCUGAUCCAGCAAUGCCGCGUGAGUGAUGAAGGCCUUAGGGUUGUAAAGCUCUUUUACCCGGGAUGAUAAUGACAGUACCGGGAGAAUAAGCUCCGGCUAACUCCGUG